ACGGGAGGCAGCAGUGGGGAAUAUUGCACAAUGGGCGAAAGCCUGAUGCAGCGACGCCGCGUGAGUGAUGAAGUAUUUCGGUAUGUAAAGCUCUAUCAGCAGGGAAGAAAAUGACGGUACCUGACUAAGAAGCCCCGGCUAACUACGUGCCAGCAGCCGCGGUAAUACGUAGGGGGCAAGCGUUAUCCGGAUUUACUGGGUGUAAAGGGAGCGUAGGUGGCAAGGCAAGCCAGAAGUGAAAAUCCGGGGCUCAACCCCGGAACUGCUUUUGGAACUGUCUAGCUAGAGUGCAGGAGAGGUAAGCGGAAUUCCUAGUGUAGCGGUGAAAUGCGUAGAUAUUAGGAGGAACACCAGUGGCGAAGGCGGCUUACUGGACGGUAACUGACGUUGAGGCUCGAAAGCGUGGGGAGCAAACAGGAUUAGAUACCCUGGUA
RNAcentral lists this ribosomal RNA (434 nucleotides) under uncultured Lachnospiraceae bacterium. RNAcentral's name for it is "partial 16S ribosomal RNA". It matches the Rfam family "Bacterial small subunit ribosomal RNA", at positions 341 to 792 of the family's 1533-position model. Lineage: Bacteria; Bacillati; Bacillota; Clostridia; Lachnospirales; Lachnospiraceae. The record is from RNAcentral.